UGGGUUGGAAACCGGGGCUUCUGCCUUGGAUUGUGGCCUUUAGACAUACUACCAACGGCGGCGCGAGCGUAAGCCUCUUGGAACAGAGCGUCUACGUGGGUGAGAAUCCUGUGUUUCGCUUGAUGCCCGCCGUGCACGGUACUUGCUCUCAGAGUCACGCUCCUCGGAAUUGGAGCGUAAAUUGGGUGGUAAAUUUCAUCUAAAGCUAAAUACAGGCUCGAGACCGAUAGCAAACAAGUACCAUGAGGGAAAGAUGAAAAGGACUUUGAAAAGAGAGUUAAAAGUGCUUGAAAUCGCUGAACUGGAAGCGAAUGGAACUAGUGCUCUGGUUGAGAUUGCUGCAAGUGGCUGCGACAUUUGGGCUCUGGAACGCAAGUCCUUUGUCUGGAUUGAAGUAAUUGCUUGCAAUGUGUCUCAGCUUGAACAUCAACUUCUAUGCAUGCCUGAGGAUGGCCCUUGGCUCAUGCUGUUUUGCUGCGGUGAUACUCUUGUGCCUCUGGGGAUUCAGGUGUGUGUGGAUGGUUGGUCAAUUAGUUCCAUUCGACCCGUCUUGAAACACG
This 560-nucleotide ribosomal RNA is filed under the name Symbiodinium sp. RNAcentral's name for it is "partial large subunit ribosomal RNA". It matches the Rfam family "Eukaryotic large subunit ribosomal RNA", at positions 110 to 663 of the family's 3401-position model. The record is from RNAcentral. Lineage: Eukaryota; Dinophyceae; Suessiales; Symbiodiniaceae.